This is a non-coding RNA of Macaca mulatta (Rhesus monkey), 117 nucleotides long. Lineage: Eukaryota; Metazoa; Chordata; Mammalia; Primates; Cercopithecidae. The record is from Rfam.
GCUGGGCGCGGUGGCUCACGCCUGUAAUCCCAGCACUUUGGGAGGCCGAGGCGGGUGGAUCACCUGAGGUCAGGAUUUUGAGACCAGCCUGGCCAACAUGGUGAAACCCCGUCUCUA